RNAcentral lists this ribosomal RNA (289 nucleotides) under uncultured Glomeromycotina. RNAcentral describes it as "partial large subunit ribosomal RNA". Lineage: Eukaryota; Fungi; Glomeromycota. The record is from RNAcentral.
UUUAUCGAAUUCCUUCCUAUUGUAAACCUAUCAACCGCUCGUCAGCAAGCUGACGAUCAAUUGAAGAUCGACAGAGAAAAGAUCCGUAGCCAAAGGCAUUCGCUGCAAUCCUCAGUCCUCGUCGCGCCAUCUAAAGUAGGCUAUAACACUCCCGAAGGAGCCACAUCCCUCCAGCCUUUUUAUGACGUUCGAAAUUGAUGUUAACCAGCGGACACGAAAGUGCUCCCCCUCAUCGUGAGACACAUGCUGUGGCGGUUUUGAGGCUCGCCACAACAUGGGUCUCCCGACG